This 419-nucleotide ribosomal RNA is filed under the name uncultured bacterium. RNAcentral's name for it is "bacterial SSU rRNA". It matches the Rfam family "Bacterial small subunit ribosomal RNA", at positions 508 to 927 of the family's 1533-position model. The record is from RNAcentral.
CCAGCAGCCGCGGUAAUACGUAGGCAGCGAGCGUUGUUCGGAGUUACUGGGCGUAAAGGGUGCGUAGGCGGCCUCUUAAGUUUGGUGUGAAAUCUCCCGGCUCAACUGGGAGGGUGCGCCGGAUACUGAGGGGCUAGAGUGCGGGAGGGGAAAGUGGAAUUCCUGGUGUAGCGGUGAAAUGCGUAGAUAUCAGGAGGAACACCGGUGGUGUAAACGGCUUUCUGGACCGUAACUGACGCUGAGGCACGAAAGCGUGGGGAGCAAACAGGAUUAGAUACCCUGGUAGUCCACGCCCUAAACGAUGCAUGCUUGGUGUGGGUGAUUCAGUUCAUCCGUGCCGGAGCUAACGCGUUAAGCAUGCCGCCUGGGGAGUACAGUCGCAAGGCUGAAACUCAAAGGAAUUGACGGGGGCCCGCACA